RNAcentral lists this transfer RNA (66 nucleotides) under Pyrophorus divergens (Brazilian luminescent click beetle). Its description in RNAcentral is "tRNA-Met". Lineage: Eukaryota; Metazoa; Arthropoda; Insecta; Coleoptera; Elateridae. The record is from RNAcentral.
AAAAAGAUAAGCUAAACAAAGCUUUUGGGUUCAUACCCCGAAUAUAAAGGUCCUCUUUUCUUUUUA